UACGGAGGGGGCAAGCGUUGUUCGGAGUUACUGGGCGUAAAGCGCACGUAGGCGGUGCGGUAAGUCAGGGGUUAAAGGCUGCAGCUCAACUGCAGUAAGGCCUUUGAUACUAUCGUGCUAGAGUGUCAGAGAGGAUGGCGGAAUUCCCGGUGUAGCGGUGAAAUGCGUAGAUAUAUGGAGGAACACCAGUAGCGAAGGCGGCCAUCUGGCUGAUAACUGACGCUGAGGUGCGAGAGCGUGGGGAGCAAACAGG
Molecule: ribosomal RNA, 253 nt
Filed under: uncultured microorganism
Description: partial 16S ribosomal RNA
Rfam family: Bacterial small subunit ribosomal RNA
Source: RNAcentral